AGAGUUUGAUCCUGGCUCAGGACGAACGCUGGCGGCGUGCUUAACACAUGCAAGUCGAACGGAAAGGUCUCUUCGGAGAUACUCGAGUGGCGAACGGGUGAGUAACACGUGGGUGAUCUGCCCCGCACUUUGGGAUAAGCCUGGGAAACUGGGUCUAAUACCGGAUAGGACCGCGCCAUGCAUGUGGUGUGGUGGAAAGCUAUUUGCGGUGUGGGAUGGGCCCGCGGCCUAUCAGCUUGUUGGUGGGGUGAUGGCCUACCAAGGCGACGACGGGUAGCCGGCCUGAGAGGGUGUCCGGCCACACUGGGACUGAGAUACGGCCCAGACUCCUACGGGAGGCAGCAGUGGGGAAUAUUGCACAAUGGGCGCAAGCCUGAUGCAGCGACGCCGCGUGGGGGAUGACGGCCUUCGGGUUG
RNAcentral lists this ribosomal RNA (416 nucleotides) under uncultured bacterium. RNAcentral's name for it is "bacterial SSU rRNA". It matches the Rfam family "Bacterial small subunit ribosomal RNA", at positions 8 to 425 of the family's 1533-position model. The record is from RNAcentral.